GAAUCCUUAAGAGCUGCCUUGCGCUGUGACAUGUCUGAUUCCUUGCUGCAGUCCCUACAGCAUGAACAAGGUGGAUGCCCGCUGACCUGGCGCAAGGCGGCCCCACAAGGUUUUGGGGUCCAUGUCUGAAUGGAUUGCUGUAGCCUUCUCUUCUCACCCUUCGCCCAGUUCCCUGCAUCCUAAGACUCGAAGCCAGCACGGGACCUGGAAAAAUUACAUGGUGUGAACGGCAUGUCUGUGGAUGAGAAGCCUGGCUCCCCCAUGUACGUGUAUGAGUCCACAGUCCACUGCGCCAACAUCCUCCUGGGCCUCAAUGACCAGCGCAAAAAGGAUAUUCUCUGUGACGUGACCCUGAUCGUGGAAAGGAAGGAGUUCCGGGCCCACCGCGCCGUGCUGGCCGCGUGCAGUGAAUACUUCUGGCAGGCGCUGGUCGGACAGACGAAGGAUGACUUGGUGGUCAGCUUGCCCGA
Non-coding RNA from Odocoileus virginianus texanus, 470 nucleotides. The record is from RefSeq and is a predicted model, not a curated record. Lineage: Eukaryota; Metazoa; Chordata; Mammalia; Artiodactyla; Cervidae.